RNAcentral lists this transfer RNA (66 nucleotides) under Trapezia bidentata. Its description in RNAcentral is "tRNA-Arg". Lineage: Eukaryota; Metazoa; Arthropoda; Malacostraca; Decapoda; Trapeziidae. The record is from RNAcentral.
AAUUAGAAAGCGAAUUUAUUGCAUUUAGUUUCGACCUAAAUUUUGACAUCCUUAAGUCUCUAAUUA